RNAcentral lists this ribosomal RNA (253 nucleotides) under uncultured bacterium. Its description in RNAcentral is "partial 16S ribosomal RNA". It matches the Rfam family "Bacterial small subunit ribosomal RNA", at positions 524 to 776 of the family's 1533-position model. The record is from RNAcentral.
UACAGAGGGUGCGAGCGUUAAUCGGAAUGACUGGGCGUAAAGGGUGCGUAGGUGGUUUGUUAAGUGUGUUGUGAAAACCCUGGGCUUAACCUGGGACUUGCAACGCAUACUGAUGAACUAGAGUAGGUGAGAGGCGUGUGGAAUUUCCGGUGUAGCGGUGAAAUGCGUAGAGAUCGGAAAGAACACCUGUGGCGAAGGCGGCACGCUGGUACCAUACUGACACUGAGGCACGAAAGCGUGGGGAGCAAACAGG